This 128-nucleotide long non-coding RNA is filed under the name Struthio camelus australis. RNAcentral describes it as "lncRNA (ENSSCUG00000017447.1)". Lineage: Eukaryota; Metazoa; Chordata; Aves; Struthioniformes; Struthionidae. The record is from RNAcentral.
CUUUCGCUUUAAGCUGCCAAUCAAACCGCUAACUAGACACCACCCUGAUCUGGCACGGACAUAAAAAAAAAAAAGUCCGGCUUGGGACUUUGCUGCCGCUGCUCCUCGCUUCUCUGCUCAAGGCUGGU